This is a long non-coding RNA of Siniperca chuatsi (mandarin fish), 190 nucleotides long. RefSeq lists it as uncharacterized. The record is from RefSeq and is a predicted model, not a curated record. Lineage: Eukaryota; Metazoa; Chordata; Actinopteri; Centrarchiformes; Sinipercidae. The transcript has 3 exons.
GACGGAUUUCACCCAUUGAUAGCACCACGCAGUGCAGAGCCAACAGUGGGCUACGCACAUACAGAACUGGAGUUACAGCAAGGAAAAGAGGAUGGCAGAUAGCCCUGCCCAUUCCAGCUGACACCUUUCUCCACCUGUAUGGGUUGUUAUUGCCAUCUUGGGAGCCUCGGCCUGCCUACUGUAUCUGUCG